AGACAAAUUUUGGUUUUAGUUUGGGGGAAAAAGGAUGAACUGAUCACGAAGCCUAUUUCGUUCAUUCUCGUAUAGAAAAAAACCCCUCCAUGACGGCAGUUGGAUGAAAUAAACAAACGGUACCGAAUGAAAAGCGGCAGUUGACAGAAAAUAUCGUAGCGCAGUGAUUAUUAAAUAACAAUUUGAUUUAAAUGAAGACCUCUCUAGUGGUAUGUGUUCUGAUGAUGAGUUAUCUGCCCUUGACAGAUGGCGGAUGGUUUUUCAGAAGCAUACUGGAUAAAUUCUGCCCUAUCGUUUGUCCUAAAGUCUGUAAAAUAUUUGACGGACCAAUCGGGUCGGUUGUUUGUAAACUGGUCUGUAGUCUGGGAUGUGGUCGACAAAAAAGACACAUCGCUUACUCGACCCAAGGUCACGUGAUUCCACUAGCCAAUCGUUUGGAUGCCUUUGAUAUAGAUGACGAUGGUUUCGUAUCAAAGAAAGAAUUUGGUAUCGCGAUAAACGAUGACGAAUCGAACGAUGAUUUCAACAAGGCCUUUUACAUAGCAGAUAAAAACGGUGACGGUAAACUGACGCCAUCAGAAUUAUAUAAAGGGCCGUUUUUAUUUGAGUUGGAUCUUGAUGGUACCAACACUCUGUAUUGCCAGAAUCUGUUGAAUUCCAGUCGGUCUACCUACCGUUAGUUAUUUGGACUUGAAAACUGUUUAUUUAUAGUCGUAGGGAAUAAAUAUUUGAAUUUGUU
Long non-coding RNA from Patella vulgata (common limpet), 739 nucleotides. RefSeq lists it as uncharacterized. The transcript has 5 exons. The record is from RefSeq and is a predicted model, not a curated record. Lineage: Eukaryota; Metazoa; Mollusca; Gastropoda; Patellidae.